UUGACUAGGCAGGUCUGAAAAGCUCCAGCAAAAUCGAAACUGUGAGAAAACAAGAAGAGGGGAGCCAUGGAGAUGCAAGAGAUCCCCAAAGAGACAGAAAAAGGCAAAGAAGGGGAUGAAGGACCGAGCGAACCGAUGCUGGAGGUGAAAAAAGAAGAGGAAGCAGAACAAGACCACUACGCCAAACUGCAAAUUUCAUCUGAGGAUGUCUAUUCAGAAGCUUUUUCUGCGGCUGGUGCAGGAAAACAAACACUGGG
Non-coding RNA from Neolamprologus brichardi, 257 nucleotides. NCBI's taxonomy places the organism in Eukaryota, Metazoa, Chordata, Actinopteri, Cichliformes, Cichlidae. The record is from RefSeq and is a predicted model, not a curated record.